AUAGCGCCCACAAGAAUAUUCUAAAGUGACAAACGAUAAGCCACGCCGACUGACAAGUUCUGAUCUUAGCACCCCUCCUCGGACUAUACAUCGGUAACCCGAAGACGAUUACGAGAGAGAGGAUAUCGGAUCUUUUCCCUCCACCGGAUCAAGCAAGCAUCGACUCACGUCGUGCAUCAUAGACCAGAAGAUGACGAGACGCUAGGUUGUUCAGCAGCGAGUAUACAGUAGAUCUCAAGAGUGUCCGAGUCAUGGGCGUAAAGGGUUACGUAGAAGGAAGAUGGUAGUCAGUGUGAAAUCAUCGAAGAUCAUCUAUGAUAUUACACUGGACACUGCGUAGGUAGAGUACUUGGAGACGGAGAUUGGAAUCUACGGUGUAGCAGCCAAAUGCGUAGAUAUGGUAAGGAAGCCCAGUGGUGAAGGCGAAUAUCUGGACAGUUUUUGACAUUGAGGCUUGAAGCCCAGGGGAGCAAACGGGAUUAGAUACCCCGGUAGUCCUGGCAGUAAACGGUGCGCGUAUGGUGUGGGAGGAUUCGACCCCUUCUGUGCCGGAGCUAACGCGUUAAACGCGCCGCCUGGGGAGUACGGUCGCAAGAUUAAAACUCAAAGAAAUUGACGGGGGCCCGCACAAGCGGUGGAGUAUGUGGCUUAAUUCGAUGCAACGCGAAGAACCUUACCUAGCCUUGACAUGCAUCUCUAAGUCGGUGAAAGCCGGCGAGUGUAGCAAUACACAAUUUGCACAGGUGCUGCAUGGCUGUCGUCAGCUCGUGUCGUGAGAUGUUGGGUUAAGUCCCGCAACGAGCGCAACCCCUGUGAACUGUUGCCACCGGCCUUCGGGCCGAGCACUCUGUUCAGACUGCCCUGUGAAACGGGGAGGAAGGUGGGGAUGACGUCAAGUCAGCAUGGCCCUUACGGCUAGGGCUGCACACGUACUACAAUGCUCAGUACAGAAUGAACCGAAACCGCGAGGUGGAGGAAAUCCCAAAAACUGAGCCCAAUUCGGAUUGGAGGCUGCAACUCGCCUCCAUGAAGCCGGAAUCGCUAGUAAUGGCGUAUCAGCUACGACGCCGUGAAUACGUUCCCGGGCCUUGUACACACCGCCCGUCACAUCAUGGAAGUCACUUGUACCCGAAGUGCAUGCGCCAACCGCAAGGAGGCAGUGCCCUAAGGUAUGCGAAAGUU
RNAcentral lists this ribosomal RNA (1182 nucleotides) under uncultured bacterium. Its description in RNAcentral is "bacterial SSU rRNA". The stretch from base 223 to 1182 matches the Rfam family "Bacterial small subunit ribosomal RNA". The record is from RNAcentral.